This 863-nucleotide long non-coding RNA is filed under the name Mytilus galloprovincialis (Mediterranean mussel). Lineage: Eukaryota; Metazoa; Mollusca; Bivalvia; Mytilida; Mytilidae. The record is from RNAcentral.
GGACGGAUUGUAAAAAUAUUCUUUUUUCAUCAAAUACUUGACAUUCUUAUAUCAAAGUACAAAUGUAGAAUUCUCAAGCAUUAAAUAUAUAUAUAUGUAUGUAAAUUUUUGAACUUAUUCUGAAACACCAUUUUUUUUCUUUCUGAAAGUCUACAACUUUUCAAGGACUGUGAUCUUAGGCCAGGGUUUUUUAAUUUGUUGGUUUACAGAUUUUCUCCAUGAAAAAGUCGUGUCUGUCGGUCGGAAAAAAAAAAAGAAAAAAAAAUAUCUCUCAAAAAAGAAAAAUAUGCAAAAAAAUAUAUAUUUCACCUUUCUAACAAUAUGUUUGGUUUGCUAUUUGAUCAUCAUUUCUUAUACAUAAGUUCGAUGAAAUAUUAUUGCUUAUAGCUGCCAUAAACAUCACAUGACAUCAUCUAAUAAUUUUCUGUGAAAAAAGGGUGUUUGUGUCCACGGACAAAGACGAAAUUAAAUCGUCAUUUCACAAACGUAGCCCUUAAUGAAUUUCAGGAAACUUGGUUCUAAUGAUCUUCAAACACGAAAACUGAUGAAGAAAAAAAAAGAAAAAACGUCGUACGAAAAUAAGUCUUGACACACAUGUCAAAAACGUAAUAGACUCAUCCACUGGAAAAAGGAAAUCGGGUUCAUCAGUUGUCAUGCAUUCCCAUUUUUUAUAUCCAAAUGGAGUAAAAAAAAAUUAUUGUCAAUGACACAAGUCUGAAGAAAAUUCCAAAGGAUUUGUUUUAAUUAAUUUCUUCAACUUGUCAGACGUCUUCACUGUUGGACAAGUUCAUUUUCCAUGUUUCUAUCUUACGGACUGAUGACAAAUACGAGAAACGAACUUAAUGUGUAAUGGAUUUUAAACA